CGGGUCUCUGUUUUCAGAAAGGAAUAAAGACAGGAGUCUGUUUUCAGAAAGGAAUAAAGACAGGAGUCUGUUUUCAGGAGGAAUAAAGACAGGAGUCUGUUUUCAGAAAGGAAUAAAGACAGGAGUCUGUUUUCAGGAGGAAUAAAGACAGGCUAGUGGCGGCGACCUGACAGAGAGGGAUGGAGGCCUAGAGAGAAGAAAUGAGGCAGGGGAUACUGUGUCCUCAAAGAGCACCCUAUUCUUAUAAGGCUCUGGUCUAAAGUAGUGCACUAUAUAGGGAAUAGGGUGCCAUUGGGCUCUGGUCAAAAGUAGUGCACUAUAUAGGGAAUAGGGUGCCAUUUGGUACACAGUCUCUUUAAGUGGAUUCUUUGUCACUUCAAGGCGGAGGGAGCAGGUAUUUCCUGAAUAUCCUGAUUCCUCUCCAACCAUGGAGUCAGUCACAGGAUCAGCAGACGUCCUAUGUCCAACUGUAUAGGAAUGCUCUUUCACUUUGAUUACAGUUGGGUACAGGUUCAUCUCUGCUUUAUUAUUAUUAUGUGUGUGUUGUGUGUGUGUGUGUGUGUGUGUGUGUGUGUGUGUGUGUGUGUGUGUGUGUGUGUGUGUGUGUG
This 608-nucleotide long non-coding RNA is filed under the name Salmo salar (Atlantic salmon). Its description in RNAcentral is "lncRNA (ENSSSAG00000100527.1)". Lineage: Eukaryota; Metazoa; Chordata; Actinopteri; Salmoniformes; Salmonidae. The record is from RNAcentral.